AUACAUGCAAGUCGAGCGGACAGAUGGGAGCUUGCUCCCUGAUGUUAGCGGCGGACGGGUGAGUAACACGUGGGUAACCUGCCUGUAAGACUGGGAUAACUCCGGGAAACCGGGGCUAAUACCGGAUGCUUGUUUGAACCGCAUGGUUCAAACAUAAAAGGUGGCUUCGGCUACCACUUACAGAUGGACCCGCGGCGCAUUAGCUAGUUGGUGAGGUAACGGCUCACCAAGGCAACGAUGCGUAGCCGACCUGAGAGGGUGAUCGGCCACACUGGGACUGAGACACGGCCCAGACUCCUACGGGAGGCAGCAGUAGGGAAUCUUCCGCAAUGGACGAAAGUCUGACGGAGCAACGCCGCGUGAGUGAUGAAGGUUUUCGGAUCGUAAAGCUCUGUUGUUAGGGAAGAACAAGUACCGUUCGAAUAGGGCGGUACCUUGACGGUACCUAACCAGAAAGCCACGGCUAACUACGUGCCAGCAGCCGCGGUAAUACGUAGGUGGCAAGCGUUGUCCGGAAUUAUUGGGCGUAAAGGGCUCGCAGGCGGUUCCUUAAGUCUGAUGUGAAAGCCCCCGGCUCAACCGGGGAGGGUCAUUGGAAACUGGGGAACUUGAGUGCAGAAGAGGAGAGUGGAAUUCCACGUGUAGCGGUGAAAUGCGUAGAGAUGUGGAGGAACACCAGUGGCGAAGGCGACUCUCUGGUCUGUAACUGACGCU
Molecule: ribosomal RNA, 714 nt
Filed under: Bacillus sp. (in: firmicutes)
Lineage: Bacteria; Bacillati; Bacillota; Bacilli; Caryophanales; Bacillaceae
Description: bacterial SSU rRNA
Rfam family: Bacterial small subunit ribosomal RNA
Source: RNAcentral